RNAcentral lists this long non-coding RNA (391 nucleotides) under Elaeis guineensis (African oil palm). Its description in RNAcentral is "long non-coding RNA (EGUI_LNC035708)". The record is from RNAcentral. Lineage: Eukaryota; Viridiplantae; Streptophyta; Magnoliopsida; Arecales; Arecaceae.
CACGGACCUUUGGUGUAGUGGAACCAGCAACGAAUAGAUCUGGAGACUUCUGGACACGAUCCAAGGCCCUUGACGAAAUCAGUCUGGUUGCUGUCUUCUUCGUCAGCCUUUCGUUCCAGAUGAAGAACACCUUUGAAACCACCUCUAAAAAAUUCAAGAUCUGGUACCCAACUAGAUCAGACCUGGACUGAGGUCUUCCAAUUUGUAGAUCUUUAAUCGGGGUGUUCUAGAUAGAGAAGAAGAUAGAUGGAGACAGACCUCGCAGAUCUGUCCUGCUGUAGCCUUUUUGUAGAUCUGUUGAUGGAGAUCUCACCCGUGCCUCAAACGACCUCAGAUCAACUCCAGAUCUGAGAGGGACUUAUACCAAUCUCUUCUCAAGAGAUUUUAAGUU